CAGUAAGUACUGCCCAGCUGGUUGUCUGCUUCCUUUUGCUGAGAUAUCUGGAACAAUUCCUCAUGGAUAUAGAGAUUCCUCGCCAUUGUGCAUGGCUGGUGUGCAUGCAGGAGUAGUGUCAAACACGUUGGGCGGCCAAAUCAGUGUUGUAAUUAGUAAAGGUAUCCCCUAUUAUGAAAGUUCUUUGGCUAACAACGUCACAUCUGUGGUG
RNAcentral lists this long non-coding RNA (211 nucleotides) under Pan troglodytes (chimpanzee). RNAcentral's name for it is "long non-coding RNA NONPTRT012019". The record is from RNAcentral. Lineage: Eukaryota; Metazoa; Chordata; Mammalia; Primates; Hominidae.